Molecule: non-coding RNA, 80 nt
Filed under: unclassified sequences
Description: skipping-rope RNA
Rfam family: skipping-rope RNA
About the family: Firmicutes, Fusobacteria, AlphaProteobacteria, Spirochaetes. Downstream gene
Source: Rfam by way of RNAcentral
AGUAACUGAGGACGGAACGGGCAGCCGUCACCCCUUGCAAAAAGGUUAGGAGAUGUGGGAAAUGUCACCCCACCUUUACU